UCUGGCAUCGGUGGUUUUACUUCUUCGAUUGAACCCUGCUUCCUCGACCCCCCUGGGAGGCCGCCUUCUUCAGGCGCCUCCCUUCUCUCCACGAGCUCGCUCUGACAGCUGAGGAACUGGCAAGAUCCUGCUACCCAGAGGGUGAAUGGGUAUCUUUCCCGGAAUAAUCCUAAUUUUUCUAAGGGUGAAGUUUGCAACGGCGGCCGUGAUUGUAAGCGGACACCAGAAAAGUACCACUGUAAGUCAUGAGAUGUCUGGUCUGAAUUGGAAACCCUUUGUAUAUGGCGGCCUUGCCUCUAUCGUGGCUGAGUUUGGGACUUUCCCUGUGGACCUUACCAAAACACGACUUCAGGUUCAAGGCCAAAGCAUUGAUGCCCGUUUCAAAGAGAUAAAAUAUAGAGGGAUGUUCCAUGCGCUGUUUCGCAUCUGUAAAGAGGAAGGUGUAUUGGCUCUCUAUUCAGGAAUUGCUCCUGCGUUGCUAAGACAAGCAUCAUAUGGCACCAUUAAAAUUGGGAUUUACCAAAGCUUGAAGCGCUUAUUCGUAGAACGUUUAGAAGGCCUGGGGCUGUUGGAUGUUUGGGGACAGCUGGAAAGCCUUUCGAUGAAACUCUUUUAAUUAAUAUGAUCUGUGGGGUAGUGUCAGGAGUGAUAUCUUCCACUAUAGCCAAUCCCACCGAUGUUCUAAAGAUUCGAAUGCAGGCUCAAGGAAGCUUGUUCCAAGGGAGCAUGAUUGGAAGCUUUAUCGAUAUAUACCAACAAGAAGGCACCAGGGGUCUGUGGAGGGGUGUGGUUCCAACUGCUCAGCGUGCUGCCAUCGUUGUGGGAGUAGAGCUACCAGUCUAUGAUAUUACUAAGAAGCAUUUAAUAUUGUCAGGAAUGAUGGGCGAUACAAUUUUAACUCACUUCGUUUCCAGCUUUACAUGUGGUUUGGCUGGGGCUCUGGCCUCCAACCCGGUUGAUGUGGUUCGAACUCGCAUGAUGAACCAGAGGGCAAUCGUGGGACAUGUGGAUCUCUAUAAGGGCACUGUUGAUGGUAUUUUAAA
RNAcentral lists this small RNA (1043 nucleotides) under Pan troglodytes (chimpanzee). Its description in RNAcentral is "processed transcript". The record is from RNAcentral. Lineage: Eukaryota; Metazoa; Chordata; Mammalia; Primates; Hominidae.